CCCAAUGGUGCCAAUAGCACAAACUUGAAAGUCCGGCCAUUUUUUUUUCGCGUUUAAAUGUGACAUUUUCGAAGCGAGUUGUCAAGGAAAUUGACCAUGGAAGUUUAUUGGAUAUCCAUUAGAGCCGUUUUGGGUAAGGAAAAGCAACUUUCUGCCGACAUUCUCUUAACAUAACCUCCACCAGAAUGUCCACAUUAUACUUCUACAUUCUUACACACACCCAAAUAUCAUGGGGGCAAAUGAAAAAUGCAUUUGCUGUUCAAUUAUUUACUUACAUACCUUUAUUGAUUGUUUAAUAUAUAUAUCUAUAUAAUAAAGUAGAUUCACAUCACGUAAAA
This is a long non-coding RNA of Dendroctonus ponderosae (mountain pine beetle), 338 nucleotides long. RefSeq lists it as uncharacterized. The record is from RefSeq and is a predicted model, not a curated record. The transcript is spliced from 2 exons. Lineage: Eukaryota; Metazoa; Arthropoda; Insecta; Coleoptera; Curculionidae.